ACUCCUACGGGAGGCAGCAGUAGGGAAUCUUCCACAAUGGGCGCAAGCCUGAUGGAGCAACACCGCGUGAGUGAAGAAGGGUUUCGGCUCGUAAAGCUCUGUUGUUAAAGAAGAACACGUAUGAGAGUAACUGUUCAUACGUUGACGGUAUUUAACCAGAAAGUACACGGCUAACUACGUGCCAGCAGCCGCGGUAAUACGUAGGUGGCAAGCGUUAUCCGGAUUUAUUGGGCGUAAAGAGAGUGCAAGCGGUUUUCUAAGUCUGAUGUGAAAGCCUUCGGCUUAACCGGAGAAGUGCAUCGGAAACUGGAUAACUUGAGUGCAGAAGAGGUAGUGGAACUCCAUGUGUAGCGGUGGAAUGCGUAGAUAUAUGGAAGAACACCAGUGGCGAAGGCGGCUACCUGGUCUGCAACUGACGCUGAGACUCGAAAGCAUGGGUAGCGAACAGGAUUAGAUACCCCUGGUAGGAUAGCG
This 474-nucleotide ribosomal RNA is filed under the name uncultured bacterium. Its description in RNAcentral is "bacterial SSU rRNA". It matches the Rfam family "Bacterial small subunit ribosomal RNA", at positions 335 to 801 of the family's 1533-position model. The record is from RNAcentral.